GCUGAAAUAAUUAUUCGUGAUGUUUUUCAAAUUCUCUAAUUUUGUGGAAUGAACAUACAUCAAAGACUCAACCAAGAUUGUCAUCACCCUGGUUAAAGAUACCUGGCUCCCAGCUGGUGGUCAUUGAACACUCCAGAAAUCCAACCGCAACAAGGGAUGUACUGACUGCUUGCGGCUCAGAUGUCCCUGGACUGACUCAGUGGACUCCCCCUAUUUACAACAAAUGCCCUGUUACCUGCAGUGAACAGUCAAGGCCCAGAUAUGUGUAAUUUUGAACCCAACCCCGACAGCCAACAAUGACAAAAGGAAAUAGACAUAUGAUUAGCAAACCUGCUGGAGGAGACAAAGAUGAGGCUGGAUAAAGGUGAUGGUUUUUGGUUUUCACUAUGGCCUUAAUGCUGGACAGGUAAUCUAGGUUUUGUUUUACAGCAACUUGGUGUGGACUUCAGGCAAAGCAUUAAAUUCUCUUGGCCUUUAUUUCUUCAUUUGUAAAUAAAAGAUUUUGAUAAAAUAUUCCCGAAAUUCA
Molecule: long non-coding RNA, 526 nt
Filed under: Vulpes vulpes (red fox)
Lineage: Eukaryota; Metazoa; Chordata; Mammalia; Carnivora; Canidae
Description: lncRNA (ENSVVUG00000020604.1)
Source: RNAcentral